GACGUAGUACUUCCGGUUUGAAAGUUCAGCGGGAGCGGUAGUGAAAUACGUUGUGGCGUCGAAUUUCUGCUAGUUUAGUCAUUUUUCUUCCAAAAGACUUUUAUCGGCAAGUAACAAAGCUUGCGCGGAUUUCCGCAUGGUGGCCAAGUGGGAUUUGAAAUGGCGGCAUUUCCUAGUUGAAAUAAUUCGCCUUGACCUUAAUACUUUACACAGUUGAACUAAUAUUUAUUUAACAAGAGUCCGUGCAUAUUUUCCUUCAUGGCCUACAUGCAGAACACUUAUGCGUCACCUACAGUAUUUAUUCCAUGCACCACCUCUCUGGUACACGAGUCAACCCUUAAUUUAUACCCAGUCGACAUCAAGUAGUGUCUUCCCGCGAGGACAGAGAUCGUGGUGGUGUCAGGAAAUCGACAAAUCGUAGAUAGAAUAAAGCAAUGGAGAAAGGAAGAGAAGGAAGGUCGAAAGGAGGAUAAAACGAGUCGCGUCAUUGCUGGCCAGGGCUUAAGUGAUCGAUGGCGUCGGCCGUUAUCUUCGCCACCCCCGCCUGGCUGCCGUGGUAAUUCAUCAUCUCGGUCUGUUUUUCACUUACUUUAUAUGCAACAUAUUCCGUAAUUUUUAUUCAGUCAACCGGCCGCCCCGAGUAGCAACCCCUAACCGUGGGCCAGCUCGUAAAACAACGAGCUGCCUCCUCGGUCCAACGGACCAUCCACCGACAACCAAAAAGAGCAAGGGUGCUACGGGGUGGCUGAAAGACGACGUAGGACGUAAGAAAGGGCGCCGCGGUGCCCUCGCGUUUUCUUUUCCUCUCGAGCGGUGUACUGGUCGCAAAGUCCGAGGGGUUACGCAAGCCGCACUCUAUAUGCUAAAGAAUCUCGAUAUGGAGAUGCGCGGCUCGACUCAUCCCCGACCGGUCAGUUUGAUUUAUUGGCUCGAAAUCGGCCACGCUAAAUUUCGGGGAAAAUAUGCUGUCCCAGGCGGCGCUAUCCCCGCUACCGAACCUCCCACGUUUUCCAACGUCAUUUCCAUAAAAUGAAUUAUUAGACCGACGGAUACGUCAGUGGAUGCGCUGGAUGGCGUAAAUCGGAAUCCCGUCCUUCGUCUUCUACGCGGAAAAACAAGCUGUUGGGAAAUUUGCUACUCGAGUGAGAUUAUCGGCCGUUCUUAUCGACGGACAUUCGUUUCGGUAUUUUUCUGGCGACAAACGUUACCCUUGUGUCCGCGUGACGGUUACAGUCACGGUCGUUCCACGCUCGUGUCACCCUUACCGGUGUCGGGCUGUGAAAGCAUCUGACGCAGACGGUGCCAUCGGGCUUUCGGCUUCAGGCUUCGGCCUCCGGGCCCUGCCACUUUUUAGAUCGUAUCGCGGAGGUCACGGUGCUUAUGUACCGGUCGCUAACAUAUUUUUAAGUACCGGCGAUACCGUCUACCAGUGCGGUGCUGCCGGACACGGACACGGACACGGCCACCAAAGGAAACGAUAUCGUAGUGGACACCGGCGAGUCUCUUCGUACACAGAGCCUGCAGACGCUACACGCUCGCCGACGAGAUGGCACCUGUCGCGCAAGGUGUUCCUAAACUCUUUUCUACGUAAAACUUCGUCAACGAUCCUCGAAACUGCCUCUUAAUCAUCGCACUACCUGCCUCGACGGCUAACUGCACCGUUCUACUUAAUAACAGGCCGAGCAUGAAACGGUUGAAAAUAUUCGCACAAAGUGCUAAUGAGAUUAAUCCGCAAUUUUAUGUUGAAAAUAAAAUAAUAGCCAGUGGUCGGAGAGAUAUCGUCGGGACCAUACGAAGAUACUUUAUUUCAUUGACUGUUUGGUACUCGAACGAUCGUAAAAUUGCCUGGCUAUAAAGAAGGACCGUAAAAUCGAGAUGCUACCCGCAAGCUAAUGUACUGGAACGACGCGGCGAGAGUCCUUAAAGGGACAAACGUGUCAACCGGGAUUCUCUCACGGUUCGAACUCGAGAAUCGAUAAGGAUGCGAUUGAAAGCGUAAACUUGCACUGACGUCACGUGUGUAAAGAGAUCGUGUAAUAAUUGAAACGGAAUCGGUUGAAAGGAAUCAGCUGUUGGGUGGCCGGUGAGAGAAAGAAAGGUUGGCGGUUCCGCGAGCGAGCGAACGCAGGUGAAACGGUUGCGACGGUGAGCAGGUGGACCAACGAUGUUCGGCGUGUGCCACGGGCACACGAGGAACGCCGAUGACCUCGAGACCACGGCAAUCGGAGAGAUCCCUGAGCGAAGCGGAGAGCCGGUUGCAGCUGCGCUUUGUCGCUUCGAAGACGCGCAAACGAACGGAUAGGCGCGUAGAACAAGCAGGGGUGUACUCGUAACGCCUGCGACCAGUGAUUAACGGUCGAACCGUAUGCUGGUUGCGACGUGGGAAUCAAUUACAACGCUACCGACGUCAACGCUAGUUUCUGAUAUUCCGACGAAUUGCACUCUGUCCUCGCCAUGUUGACGCUCUAAUCGUGAGUACCGACACGAAGGUUUCUAUGAUAGAGGGAAGAAUCAGUCAAUUUAUAUUUGCCACCGUUUCGGAUAUUAUACAAACACAUUCGACACACGAUGGACGACUAAAAAUAAAAACUCGUAUCGAACAAGCGAUUCGAGCUCGAAGAGUAAAGGAAGGAUUAGCUUGCAAGGAUUCUCAGGAUAAAGGAUCGCGAGGAGGAUAGUUUCCCAGAUUCCUACGUUAUCGCUGGGGUAAGAUAGAGCUUUCGUCUGGAAGGGUAGCUGGGUGAGAAUCGGGGAUGCGAACCCGUUAAGGGCAAGUAGAUCCCUGCAGG
Osmia lignaria (orchard mason bee) is the source of this 2789-nucleotide long non-coding RNA. RefSeq lists it as uncharacterized. NCBI's taxonomy places the organism in Eukaryota, Metazoa, Arthropoda, Insecta, Hymenoptera, Megachilidae. The record is from RefSeq and is a predicted model, not a curated record.